This 74-nucleotide transfer RNA is filed under the name Chloroflexota bacterium. Its description in RNAcentral is "tRNA-Gly". It matches the Rfam family "tRNA". From Rfam's summary of the family: Transfer RNA (tRNA) molecules are approximately 80 nucleotides in length. Their secondary structure includes four short double-helical elements and three loops (D, anti-codon, and T loops). Further hydrogen bonds mediate the characteristic L-shaped molecular structure. tRNAs have two regions of fundamental functional importance: the anti-codon, which is responsible for specific mRNA codon recognition, and the 3' end, to which the tRNAs corresponding amino acid is attached (by aminoacyl-tRNA synthetases). tRNAs cope with the degeneracy of the genetic code in two manners: having more than one tRNA (with a specific anti-codon) for a particular amino acid; and 'wobble' base-pairing, i.e. permitting non-standard base-pairing at the 3rd anti-codon position. Lineage: Bacteria; Bacillati; Chloroflexota. The record is from RNAcentral.
GCGGGUGUGGUGAAGCGGUAUCAUAGGUGCCUUCCAAGCACUUGGCACGGGUUCGACUCCCGUCACCCGCUCCA